AAGGAGUCUAACAUAUAUGCGAGUAUUUGGGUGGCAAACCCUUAUGCGAAAUGAAAGUGAGUACGAGUGGGAUUUCGCAAGGGUGCACCAUUGACCGAUCUUGAUAUCUCUUGAUAGAUUCGCGUUAGAGCAUACCUGUUGGGACCCGAAAGAUGGUGAACUAUGCCUGAGUAGGAUGAAGCCAGGGGAAACUCUGGUGGAGGUCCGAAGCCGUUCUGACGUGCAAAUCGAUGGUCAAACCUGGGUACAGGGGCGAAAGACUAAUCGAACCAUCUAGUAGCUGGUUCCCUC
This 291-nucleotide unclassified non-coding RNA is filed under the name uncultured fungus. RNAcentral describes it as "partial contains 5.8S rRNA, ITS2 and 28S rRNA". It matches the Rfam family "Eukaryotic large subunit ribosomal RNA", at positions 668 to 961 of the family's 3401-position model. Lineage: Eukaryota; Fungi. The record is from RNAcentral.